GCACGCCGUAUGAGGUGAAAGUCUCAUGUACGGUGUAGAGUGGGGGAAAAUUCGGAGAUAAUAUCAAAGAAUUACCUAUCACUAU
Molecule: non-coding RNA, 85 nt
Filed under: Clostridioides difficile
Lineage: Bacteria; Bacillati; Bacillota; Clostridia; Peptostreptococcales; Peptostreptococcaceae
Source: RNAcentral